RNAcentral lists this ribosomal RNA (1387 nucleotides) under uncultured bacterium. RNAcentral's name for it is "bacterial SSU rRNA". It matches the Rfam family "Bacterial small subunit ribosomal RNA". The record is from RNAcentral.
GAGUUUGAUCCUGGCUCAGAAUCAACGCUGGCGGCGUGCCUAAUACAUGCAAGUCGAACGCGAAAGUGGAGCAAUCCAUGAGUAGAGUGGCAAACGGGUGAGUAACGCGUGGGUGACCUGCCUUCGAGCGGGGGAUAACGUCCCGAAAGGGACGCUAAUACCGCAUAACAUGCCGCCUUUUAACAGGUGGACAUCAAAGCUGGGGAUCGCAAGACCUAGCACUUGAAGAGGGGCCCGCGUCUGAUUAGCUAGUUGGUGGGGUAAUGGCUCACCAAGGCAACGAUCAGUAUCCGGCCUGAGAGGGCGGACGGACACACUGGGACUGAGACACGGCCCAGACUCCUACGGGAGGCAGCAGUGGGGAAUUGUUCGCAAUGGGCGCAAGCCUGACGACGCAACGCCGCGUGGAGGAUGAAGACCUUCGGGUCGUAAACUCCUUUCGAUCGAGACGAAUGGCCUCCGGGUGAACAAUCCGGAGGAGUGACGGUACCGAGAGAAGAAGCCCCGGCUAACUCCGUGCCAGCAGCCGCGGUAAUACGGGGGGGGCAAGCGUUGUUCGGAAUUACUGGGCGUAAAGAGUUGCGUAGGUGGCAGAGUAAGCGGACAGUGAAAGCGUGUGGCUCAACUAUACAUACAUUGUCUGAACUGCUCAGCUAGAGAGUGAGAGAGGUAGUUGGAAUUCCCAGUGUAGGAGUGAAAUCCGUAGAUAUUGGGAGGAACACCGAUGGCGUAGGCAGACUACUGGCUCAUUUCUGACACUAAGGCACGAAAGCGUGGGGAGCGAACGGGAUUAGAUACCCCGGUAGUCCACGCCGUAAACUAUGGAUGCUAGCUGUUAUUCGUAUCGACCCGAGUAGUAGCGAAGCUAACGCGUUAAGCAUCCCGCCUGUGGAGUACGGUCGCAAGACUAAAACAUAAAGGAAUUGACGGGGACCCGCACAAGCGGUGGAGCGUGUUGUUUAAUUCGAUGGUAAGCGAAGAACCUUACCAGGGCUUGACAUCCUGCUAAUUUCUCCGAAAGGAGAGAGUGCCUUCGGGCCGCAGUGACAGGUGUUGCAUGGCCGUCGUCAGCUCGUGUCGUGAGAUGUUUGGUUAAGUCCAUCAACGAGCGCAACCCUUGUGAUUAGUUGAAUUUUUCUAAUCAGACUGCCCCGGCAACGGGGAGGAAGGAGGGGAUGAUGUCAGGUCAGUAUUACCCUUACGCCCUGGGCUACAAACACGCUACAAUGGCCGGUACAAAGGGCAGCCAAGUCGCAAGACGGAGCAAAUCCCAUCAAAGCCGGUCUCAGUUCGGAUUGCAGGCUGAAACCCGCCUGCAUGAAGCUGGAAUCGCUAGUAACGGUAGGUCAGCACACUACCGUGAUACGUUCCCGGGUCUUGUACACAC